This 70-nucleotide transfer RNA is filed under the name Camelus bactrianus (Bactrian camel). It matches the Rfam family "tRNA". Rfam says of the family: Transfer RNA (tRNA) molecules are approximately 80 nucleotides in length. Their secondary structure includes four short double-helical elements and three loops (D, anti-codon, and T loops). Further hydrogen bonds mediate the characteristic L-shaped molecular structure. tRNAs have two regions of fundamental functional importance: the anti-codon, which is responsible for specific mRNA codon recognition, and the 3' end, to which the tRNAs corresponding amino acid is attached (by aminoacyl-tRNA synthetases). tRNAs cope with the degeneracy of the genetic code in two manners: having more than one tRNA (with a specific anti-codon) for a particular amino acid; and 'wobble' base-pairing, i.e. permitting non-standard base-pairing at the 3rd anti-codon position. The record is from Rfam by way of RNAcentral. RNAcentral also lists the same sequence under 2 other names. Lineage: Eukaryota; Metazoa; Chordata; Mammalia; Artiodactyla; Camelidae.
GAGGGUGUAGCUCAGUGGUAGAGCACGUACUUAGCAUGCAGGAGUCCUGGGUUCAAUCCCAGUACCUUCA